GAUAAGUGAUGAAGAGAAGACUCUUUGAGAACAGGAGAUUGUUGCCUCAUCACCAAGUUUAAGUGGACUUAAGUUGGGGUUCGAGUCCAUUUAUAAGAUCCCUUUUGCUGAUGCUCUGGAUUUGUUUCGAGGAAGGAAAGUCUAUUUGAAAGGUGGCUUUGCUUACGUACCACUUAAGGACAUUGUGGCAAUCAUCCUGAAUGAAUUUAGAGCCAAACUGUCCAAGGCUUUGGCAGAUGUGUAAUGAAACAUGAAGACGUCAAAUAUAAAGGAUGGCAAUUGCUCAGACUUGUCCUUUGCUUGUCUGGUUAUCCAUCAAACACUAUCAGUGUGAUUGUGCCAGAAAGUAUGAAAUAAUGUUAUUGGAAAGCAGUCAGUCAACUUUAUGUCAAGGUCACUUAAAAGUCUCAGCCAGCUGUUCUGAUAUCAAAGAGCAUUUUACAAAUAUGAUAUAUUAAAAUGAUUACUCUUAGGAAGUGUAUCCCCAAACAUGCUUACUUUACCCUGACUCUUGAUUUUAUGCCUUGGUACUUUGAGUAGAAUAGGGCAGGUACAGAUAAUAGUAUGUCACAGUGGUCUAGAAUCUACACCUUUCCUGCUUGCAGUAUGGUAUUAGCUAGGGU
This is a long non-coding RNA of Pan troglodytes (chimpanzee), 623 nucleotides long. RefSeq lists it as uncharacterized. The record is from RefSeq and is a predicted model, not a curated record. NCBI's taxonomy places the organism in Eukaryota, Metazoa, Chordata, Mammalia, Primates, Hominidae. The transcript is spliced from 3 exons.